AACGAACGCUGGCGGCAUGCCUAACACAUGCAAGUCGAACGAGACCUUCGGGUCUAGUGGCGCACGGGUGCGUAACGCGUGGGAACCUGCCUUUAGGUUCGGAAUAACUCAGAGAAAUUUGAGCUAAUACCGGAUGAUGUCUUCGGACCAAAGAUUUAUCGCCUUUAGAUGGGCCCGCGUUGGAUUAGCUAGUUGGUGGGGUAAAGGCCUACCAAGGCGACGAUCCAUAGCUGGUCUGAGAGGAUGAUCAGCCACACUGGGACUGAGACACGGCCCAGACUCCUACGGGAGGCAGCAGUGGGGAAUAUUGGACAAUGGGCGAAAGCCUGAUCCAGCAAUGCCGCGUGAGUGAUGAAGGCCUUAGGGUUGUAAAGCUCUUUUACCCGAGAUGAUAAUGACAGUAUCGGGAGAAUAAGCUCCGGCUAAACUCCGUG
Molecule: ribosomal RNA, 434 nt
Filed under: uncultured bacterium
Lineage: Bacteria
Description: bacterial SSU rRNA
Rfam family: Bacterial small subunit ribosomal RNA
Source: RNAcentral